Molecule: ribosomal RNA, 305 nt
Filed under: uncultured bacterium
Lineage: Bacteria
Description: partial 16S ribosomal RNA
Rfam family: Bacterial small subunit ribosomal RNA
Source: RNAcentral
ACAGCAGCCGCCGCGGGAACACGAAGGGUGCAAGCGUUACUCGGAAUUACUGGGCGUAAAGCGUGCGUAGGUGGUGGUUUAAGUCCGUUGUGAAAGCCCUGGGCUCAACCUGGGAAUUGCAGUGGAUACUGUGUCACUAGAGUGUGGUAGAGGAUAGUGGAAUUUCCGGUGUAGCAGUGAAAUGCGUAGAGAUCGGAAGGAACAUCUGUGGCGAAGGCGACUAUCUGGGCCAACACUGACACUGAGGCACGAAAGCGUGGGGAGCAAACAGGAUUAGAUACCCCCGUAGUCCCUGUCUCUUAUAA